GUAUUUUAAGGUUUGAAAGAGUAACUAAUGGAAAACCUUGUUUUGACACCCAUCUCCUUCUGAACCUGGUGACUCUCAGCCCUGGAUGAACAGCAGAAUCGCUGGAGAGCUUUAAAAAUACUGAUGUUCAGGUCAUAUUCUUGGCCAGUUAAAUACAAAUCUCUUUGAGAGGCACACAGGCCUUAGAAAAAUGGGAACGUCAGGGACAGAAUGAACCACCGUGGCACCCACGUAUGGGAACUUUCAGAUGGGACUUGACGCCAUCAAAUGGGUUAAUGUUACUUGAUGCCGAUAGUACUUCUGAGAGACAACAUAUUAAAAAGCAAAGACAUCACUUUACUGACAAAGAUCUGUAUAGUCAAAGCUAUACAGUAGUCAUGCAUGGAUGUGAGAGUUGGACCAUAAAGAAGGUUGAGUACCAAAGAAUUGAUGUUUUCAAAUUGUGGUCCUGGGAGAAGACUCUUGAGAGUCCCUUGGACUGCAAGGAGAUCAAACCAGUCAAUCUUAAGGAAAUCAACCCUGAAUAUUCACUGGAAGCACUGAUGCUGAAGCUGAAGCUCCAAUCCUUUGGCCACCUGAUGCGAAGAGCUGACUCAUUGGAAAAGACACUGAUGCUGGGAAAGACUGAGGCAAAAGGACAAGGGGGAAGCAGAUGAUAAGAAGGUUAGAUAGCAUCACCGACUCAAUGGACAUGAGUCUGAGCAAACUCUGGGAGACAAUGGAGGUCAGAGGAGAGAGUUGAGUCCUGGUGACCUACCAUCCAUGGGGUUGCAAACAGUUGGAGACGACUGAAUGACUGAGCAACAACAUCAAGUAUUCCAUUGUAUAUAUGUACUACAUCUUCUUUAUCCGUUUCUUUCAGUGGACAUUUGGGUUGCUUCCAUGUUUUGGAUGCUGUAAAACAUGGCUGUGAACAUUGGGGUGCGUGUAUCUUUCCGAACUACAGUUUUCUCCAGGCACAUGCUCAGGAGUGGCAUUGCUGGAUCACACGGUAGCUCUAUUUUUAAUUUUUGAGGAGCCUCCACACUUCUCUCCAUAGCGGCUGCACCAAUUUACAUUCCCACCGACAGCAUAGGAGGGUUCCUUUUUCUCCACACCCUCUGCAGCAUUUAUAAUUUGUAGACUUUUUGUUGACCUUUUGGACCAAGUGCUAACCUCUUUCAAUGUUAGUUUUCUUAUUCAUCCAACGGGGGACUAAUUUCCUUCAAAGUUGUGGCAAGGCUUUGUGAGUUGGUUAUUAGAUGCUGCUCUGUGUCCAGACGUCUCCUGCUCAGGUGGGCCCUGUGUUUGAGGAAGUGUGAGGUGCUGGGUGGAGUCGUGUACACUGUUCCCAGAACGUGCCCUCAGCCCUGUUGUGGUCUUGACAUCUCAGAGACAGCCGCUCUUGUAGAUGAAGCAGAGGGUUCUUCCCACAGCCAGGGUUUGGUCUGCUCAUUCUCAAAGACCUGGCAGGAAGAGGAACUCCAACAGGAGUGGGUGGGCACUGGGAGGGUGAUGAGACACUGAUCCACAGUUUUACCCCUUUGUAAAUCUCAGGCACACAGGUUAAAUUACUCAUAUCUCUCAAUAAAUUGAACCUCACCAUCAUUUUCCUGUUCUCAGCCCUUCUCCUUUUUUUUUUUUUUUUUUUUAAUUAAACAUAAUUUUUACCCUCAGUCUCAGGCUUCCCAGCAGUGCUAGUGGUAAAGAACCUUCUUGCCAAUGCAGGAGACAUAAGAGACUCAGGUUCAAUCCCUGGGUUGGGAAGAUUCCUUGGAGGAGAGUAUGGCAACCCACUCCAGUAUUCUUGCCUGGAAAAUUCCAUGGACAGAGGAGCCUGGCAGGCUACAGUUGCAAAG
Molecule: long non-coding RNA, 1838 nt
Organism: Bos taurus (domestic cattle)
Lineage: Eukaryota; Metazoa; Chordata; Mammalia; Artiodactyla; Bovidae
Source: Ensembl